UUUAUAUGAGAGUUUGAUCCUGGCUCAGGAUGAACGCUGGCGGCGUGCCUAAUACAUGCAAGUCGAACGAGUUCUCGUUGAUGAUUGGUGCUUGCACCGAGAUUCAACAUGGAACGAGUGGCGGACGGGUGAGUAACACGUGGGUAACCUGCCCUUAAGUGGGGGAUAACAUUUGGAAACAGAUGCUAAUACCGCAUAGAUCCAAGAACCGCAUGGUUCUUGGCUGAAAGAUGGCGUAAGCUAUCGCUUUUGGAUGGACCCGCGGCGUAUUAGCUAGUUGGUGAGGUAACGGCUCACCAAGGCGAUGAUACGUAGCCGAACUGAGAGGUUGAUCGGCCACAUUGGGACUGAGACACGGCCCAAACUCCUACGGGAG
RNAcentral lists this ribosomal RNA (376 nucleotides) under Lacticaseibacillus paracasei. Its description in RNAcentral is "bacterial SSU rRNA". It matches the Rfam family "Bacterial small subunit ribosomal RNA", at positions 1 to 347 of the family's 1533-position model. The record is from RNAcentral. Lineage: Bacteria; Bacillati; Bacillota; Bacilli; Lactobacillales; Lactobacillaceae.